RNAcentral lists this long non-coding RNA (508 nucleotides) under Phoenix dactylifera (date palm). RNAcentral's name for it is "long non-coding RNA (PDAC_LNC022944)". Lineage: Eukaryota; Viridiplantae; Streptophyta; Magnoliopsida; Arecales; Arecaceae. The record is from RNAcentral.
AGAGUUGAUCUUCUGGCUCGGCUAGUUCAUGGAGCCAAGCUCUAAAAAUUUGUUUGAGCUCAGCUAAUUUUUCAACUGAGCCCAAGCUACUCAUGAGCAGCUCGGCUCAUUUGCAGCCCUAGAAGCAAGGUUUCAAACUGAAUAUUUUUGCUGAUAAUAAAUCUAGAAAGAGUAUGUUUCAUUACAAAAGAAUCAAGUGGAUCAUCUAGACAAAACAGGUAAGAAAAAAAAAGAGAGAGAAGAAAAGAGAUAGAUGGAAGCCUUAUUUCAAAUGCUCAUUAAUUUAUUAGUACUAGUAAAACUCCCAUGAUUUUUUUUAUUCCACUAUUUGCCAUGCUUACAAUUUAAAAGUUUAGCAACAUUAUCUUCAUUACAUCACAUGAUUUAAGGCUUGAUGAUGUGUACAACAUAUAGCUUAUAAAAGGAUCUUUCUUCAAGCUCGUGAGUAAUAUAAUAUGAUUUCAGCUUACAUGAGGAAUUCCAUUCAAUUAAUAUGAUUUCCAUGUAC